CGGGUGAGUAACACGUAUCCAACCUGCCGUCUACUCUUGGACAGCCUUCUGAAAGGAAGAUUAAUACAAGAUGGCAUCAUGAGUCCGCAUGUUCACAUGAUUAAAGGUAUUCCGGUAGACGAUGGGGAUGCGUUCCAUUAGAUAGUAGGCGAGGUAACGGCCCACCUAGUCUUCGAUGGAUAGGGGUUCUGAGAGGAAGGUCCCCCACAUUGGAACUGAGACACGGUCCAA
RNAcentral lists this ribosomal RNA (231 nucleotides) under uncultured bacterium. RNAcentral describes it as "partial 16S ribosomal RNA". It matches the Rfam family "Bacterial small subunit ribosomal RNA", at positions 103 to 334 of the family's 1533-position model. The record is from RNAcentral.